GGAUGUGAGGUCGAUCUGGCUGCGACAUCUGUCACCCCAUUGAUCACCAGGGUUGAUUCGGCUGAUGUGGCUGGCUAGACAGGUGUUUCCUUCCUCCCUCACUGCUCCAUGUGCGUCCCUUCCAAAGCUGUGAGCUUUGUCGAAGAGGACGGCCUUCCCUGAAUAGAGACAGCUGGUCCUUGGUCGAGGGUAUAGGAGUAGCAGCGCUCCCCUGCUAGAACCUCCAAACAAGCUCUCAAGGAAGUCAAGGACAAAUCUGUGGAACAUCUGAUUGUCCACUAGAGGUACUUGGUCAUAUC
This 299-nucleotide small nuclear RNA is filed under the name Erinaceus europaeus (western European hedgehog). Its description in RNAcentral is "7SK RNA". It matches the Rfam family "7SK RNA". From Rfam's summary of the family: 7SK was discovered as an abundant small nuclear RNA in the mid-70s but a possible function has only recently been suggested. Lineage: Eukaryota; Metazoa; Chordata; Mammalia; Eulipotyphla; Erinaceidae. The record is from Rfam by way of RNAcentral.